RNAcentral lists this transfer-messenger RNA (358 nucleotides) under Candidatus Babeliae. RNAcentral describes it as "UASB340 sp000989185 Standard tmRNA". It matches the Rfam family "transfer-messenger RNA". Rfam says of the family: Bacterial tmRNA, also known as 10Sa RNA or SsrA, is named for its dual tRNA and mRNA-like properties. Its role is to liberate the mRNA from a stalled ribosome. To accomplish this part of the tmRNA is used as a reading frame that ends in a translation stop signal. The record is from RNAcentral.
GGGGGCGUCACGGUUUCGACGUGAUAUUUGAUGUUUUGAGAGCAUGUCGAGUUUUGUAUGGGAACUCGUAAAAAACAUACAAAACAAAUAAGUGCAGAACCUGUUUCCGCAUACGCUUAAUAGUAGUUAUUAAGUGACUUGUCAGUAAAGCAUGUCUAUCUGUGGAACUGACUCGUAUUAAAAAGAUAGAACUCGCUAAGUAGAUUUUUUGGUUUUGUAUUUAGCGAAAAUCACUAAACUGGCUUUUAUUUCAAUCUAUGCUCUUGAGGUGAAGUAAGAGUAUAUUCAAGAGAUAAACAUGUAGUGCUUGGAACUGAUAGUGUUGCGGACAUGGGUUCGACUCCCAUCGCCUCCACCA